GCCCCUGUCGCUGGAGCU
Molecule: unclassified non-coding RNA, 18 nt
Filed under: Chlamydomonas reinhardtii
Lineage: Eukaryota; Viridiplantae; Chlorophyta; Chlorophyceae; Chlamydomonadales; Chlamydomonadaceae
Description: small RNA Cre_1695
Source: RNAcentral